CUUUCUUGGGAAGACAUUGGCUUUUGGAAGCUUAUAGAAAUGAGGAGAACUGAGGGCUUCAGUUGUCCCAAGGGCCCUUGUGCUCAGAGGGGUUCGGUGACACCUUGAGUCUGCGUCCAGUGCUCUUCCAGCCAUGGUAGCACCCUUGGAGCUGCUUCUCUCUCAUCCUCCCGGAAAGAAAUCCAGUGGAACAAUCCAGAGGCCCUGGAAAGGUGGGAUCAUCAGUGUCAAAGUCAGAGGCUCUUGCAUUGUGGUGUUGACACAGUGGAGAGUGGAGGAGAAUGACCGGUUCUAAUCAUCUGACAGCAGGAGAUCUGUGGGACGUUGGGGAACUUUUUCAGUCAUAUCAGCCAACUAUAAUGUCUGAGGACGGCAUCCAGCCAGUCACGUGGAAAUAAAGCUUUCACCUUGAAGUUUGAGCUUCCUGCCAAGUUUUCAUGCCUGGAGGAGAAGAUCCAGUCAGUCUUCCUGAGGAAGCCAUCAGUGCUGGAAAGGAACAGUGAUUGUGUCACAAGGGAGGUGCUGACCAGUGUUGUCUUUGGCAGAGGGAGUGUAGAGCUAAUGUACAAACCUGUAUACACAUACAAUUUUGUCACAUUUUGUACCAUCUUCUUUACUGUCCUGAUAGGAAAUGUGUAGAAAAUCUAACCCAGUCAUGUAAAAAAAAAAAAAAAAAAAAAAAAAAAAAAAAAAACACAGAAAUGCCACAACAGUUAUAUAAAACAAAAAUAAGAGGUAAAGGAUGUAUACUGAAAUACACAUCUUAACAUGGAAAAGCUCAGGACAGCUGCAGUGGAAGACACAAGAAGUCAUGUGGCCAUACCUGUGUGGGGCCUCGCUGCAAAGGGUCAGCAGCAAAAGUAGAAUGGGGGAGGUGUGUUGUAUGGUGAGUUGGUUUUGCUAAGUGGGUUUUAGCAUGAUUUUUCUGACAUGCCAACUCUGAGAGUUGUCUGGAACAAAGGAACCUCAUGUGGUCCCUGGAUGAACCUGGCAAUUGCGUUUCUGGAAGAUCCAUGGUUUGCUUAUAGGUAAAGUAUUUGGGCUUUGGGCU
Molecule: long non-coding RNA, 1051 nt
Filed under: Fukomys damarensis (Damara mole-rat)
Lineage: Eukaryota; Metazoa; Chordata; Mammalia; Rodentia; Bathyergidae
Description: lncRNA (ENSFDAG00000027438.1)
Source: RNAcentral